RNAcentral lists this long non-coding RNA (6373 nucleotides) under Musa acuminata (dwarf banana). RNAcentral describes it as "long non-coding RNA (MACU_LNC006476)". Lineage: Eukaryota; Viridiplantae; Streptophyta; Magnoliopsida; Zingiberales; Musaceae. The record is from RNAcentral.
AAUGUAAUUUGUCUUAAAUUUUAGUCGCCAUGAGAUUUUAAGCAGAACGAGAAUUUGUUUCUCUCUAUCGAUAUAAAGCCUUUCAGACUGGAUGGGAAAAAAACCAAAGGAAAAACCUUCAAUUCUUUUAUAUCUUUUUAACUUAAACAGCAACAAAGGAAACGCCCUUUCUCUCUCAACUCUUAAUUUUUGUUAUUCUAAAAAAAUUUGACCUCACAUCUAGGAUUACGUCCUGGUUUUGCUGCCCAAUAGGGUCUCGAGGGAGCUCUAACUCGUACCCAUCUUACUGUGCAGCGGGAAUGGAACAUGAAACAAAAAGAUACUAGUGUAUUAGUACACAACACAGCAGGACUCCGUUAAAAAUAGUUCAGGAAAAAAAUGAAGCCAAAGAAGCAAAUGGAGCAAAAUCAUUCCCGACUGCUUUUGAGUGAAAAUAACAAAGGAAGACUGACGCAGUAGCAGACGAAUACAUGCAUACUGCCGAUAAUUCAGAACGCAUGCACACAAGCACCAAAGGAAGAUUCCCAACUGCUUGUACCGCAUGUAAACGAAAUACAGAUGAACCAAAUGGACAGAUAGAUCUCAAAGGGACCUAUAAUUACAAUGAAAACCUGUUAGUUAAUGAACGAUUAUAUCAUGUACUGGAUAAUUGACUCACACAAAUUAAAAGAUCCUCUAUUCAGAUUUAUUGCUACAAAGUCGUAGAUUUGAGAGCACAACAUUGAUUUUUCAGAUUUGGUGCCCUCCAAAGUUGCAGACUUGGAGGCAUAGUUGAAGAACUUGUUGAAUCUCUCUCGGUUUUGUAUAAUGUAACUCGUAUCCUCUAAGCUAGCAAGUCAAAAGUUCUACGUCCCAUAAUAACGUCACAGAUAAAUCAUAUUAAUACCAAUUAAUGUUGUGUCAUGUGGAUACUUGUAAGAGAUAUUCGGUCUGUAGUAAACCAUUUUGACUCUUUGUUGUGCAACCGUUCAAAGCUUGUAAAGUCCGUUUGUAAUUUGCAUUGGCUAUGAAGUGUUUUCUGAAAUGUUUGCUUAUGGAUCCCGAGUGAGACGUUUUCUCUAACUCAUUUUCUCUUUUGUAAGUCCUUAGGAACCAUGAAAGGGCAGAUGAACACACAAGGGUGCCGCACGACUUAGGUAAAACUAAGUCCGUAACAAUGCGACAAAGAAUAACCGAAAGCUAAACCUCAAGCUUCUUUAGUUACAAGAAGCUCAUAUUUGAAUAUCCAUCACAAAACUUGCUACAGUCAUGAACCAUGGACGUGACCCUUUGUUCUCAUUUUUAUUUGCUCGGUAUAUCGAUCAAUCUCUUCCGGGUGCUCUCCUCUCGUCUCUACCAUUUGUUAGGGUAGGGGCGCUUCUGUUAGUCGCACUUGAUUCGGUACAUGAUAUUGGACAUCUAUGACUAGUGAAUCAUGAAUGAUUCAUCUCACUUGUUUAUUAUGGCAAGAAGAAACUCUCAACCUCUUAGCUUCUUGAACUCGAUGCCAUUAUCUAUCAUUCACAAGCGGGUGAGCAAAACAAUCACGAAACCCUAGUUCUUGACAAGUAAUUUCCCCUAACUAAUUACUUCACAUACUGCAAAGAUCAUUUAGUUACAAGAAGAUAUCACCAUAAAAGAAAUGCAAGAUAACCGUCGAUCGAUCAAAAUAUAUUGCUACAGAAAUUUUUUGAAAGAAAGUUCCCAUAACGAAGUACAUGUUAGAGCUAGCCCCAGGAUAUUUACCAAAGGAUAAUUUUGAUAACCCAACAAGACAAUAAAACGGAAAGAAUAAAAGCGAGACAAGAACACCAGAUAUACGUGGUUCGGUCAAUUGACCUACAUCCACGGACGAAGGAGGAGCAAAUCACUACUAUAAAAAGAGACUAUUACAAAUGCCUUAGGAAGAUGUUCUUAGGCCAUAAAACACCCGAAAAUACUAAACAAGAAAAACCCAAAGUAUAAGUCCAAACUAUUUAACUGAGUAUGGACUUAAACAAAAGUAAAUACUUAGGUUUUCUUGUGGUGCCACUUGUGGUGCAUCUGACUUCAAAGCCCAGACCCUUAUUUAUAGUUCCAAUAGGAGAUAACAAUCCUGAUUUUCCCGAUGUGAGAUUAUGGGACUUGCCAAACUAACAGUACAACAUGGAUCCGAAGCAGACCUCAAAGAACGAAGAACAUCGUUGAUCAGAAUAAGCGAAAACAGCACGAAACGAUAAAAAAAUUAUCGAGCCCAAAGAGAAUCAUCGUUGUUUAGCAUAUGAGAGAACAACGUGAAACGAUAAAAAAUAUUUGAGGCCAAGAUGAUCAUCGUUGAUCAGAAUAAGAGAAAACGGCGCGAAACGCGAUCAGGAAUUAUCGAGCCCAAGAAGAACAUCGUUGAUCAGCAGAGCGAAACUGUUAGUUUGGCAAGUCCCAUAGUCCCACAUUGGGAAAAUCAAGCUUGUUAUCUCCUAUUGGAACUAUAAAUAAGGGCCUGGGCUUUGAAGUCAGAUGCACCACAAGAAAAACCUAAGUGUUUGCUUUGGUUGAAGUCCAUACUUAAUUAAAUAGUUUGGACUUAUAGUUUGAUUUUUUUUUUUUAGUAUUUUCGGGUGUUUUAUGGCCUAGGAACAUCUUCCUAGGGCAUUUGUAAUUGUCCCUCUUUUGCAGUAGUAAUUUGCCCCUCUUUCGUCCGUGGAUGUAGGUCAAAGUCAAUUGACCGAACCACGUAUAUCUGGUGUUCUGGUGUUCUUGUCUCGCUUUUAUUCUUUCCAUUUUAUUGUCUUGUUGGGUUGCCAAAAUUACCUUGUGGUAAAUUUCCUGGGGCUAGCUCUAACAAACUGGUAUCAGAGCUUGGUUCUGGGAUCUUUUGGCAACGAUGACAAUAACAAAGAUUGUUGUCGAGAAAUUCGACAGAAAUGUCAACUUCGGCUUGUAGCAACUCAAGAUGGAGGCCAUUCUAGUUCAAGACGGAGUUGAUUUGGUACUACAGGGAGCCGAGAGCAUUUCAGAUGAUAUGUCAAAAGAAGAGCUUGCGGGUAUGGAUAAGAAGGCCCGAUCAAGCAUCAUUCUAAAUCUCUCUGACGAGGUUUUAUGGGAGGUAGCUACGGAGACUACGGCUAAGAGCAUGUGGGACAAGCUUAAAGCCUUGUACAUAAAGAGGACAAUGGAGAAUCGUCUCUAUUUGAAGCAGAGUCUGUAUAUGCUUCGGAUGAUUGAAGGUACAUCUAUACUCUCAUAUCUUGAUAAGUUUGAUUCUUUGGUUAUGGAUUUGAAGAAUAUAGAUGCAAAAAUUGAUGAUGAGGAUAAGGCUUUGUUACUCUUGUGUUCUCUUCCCCAAUCUUUUAAGCAUUUCCGUGAUACUUUGAUUUAUGGAAAAGAAAUAGUUUUGUAUCAAGAAAUUAAAUCUGCAUUGAAAUCUAAGGAGCAAAUAGACAGGAAUAUCACUGGGGAAAGUAGAGAGAAUUAGGCUGAGGGUCUGGUUGUUAGGGGGAGAAUGGAUAAAUGAGAAUUUGACAGUAGUAGAUCUAAAUCUAGAUCUAAAUCCAGACAUAGAAAUUUGGAAUGCAGAUAUUGUCAUAAAAUGGGGCACAUUAAAUCUGAUUGCUUUAAAUUGAAAAAUAAAUUAAAGCAAAAGGAAAAAUUUGUUGAGAAAACUAUUGAAUCCGUUGAAGUUAGUGUAGCAACUGAUGAGACUGUUAGAAAUAUUUUCUUUGCUAUUGAUGACAGGACGAUGUCUAAAAAUGAAUGGAUUUUAGAUUCGGGUUGUUCUUAUCACAUGUGUCCCAAUAUAGAUUUGUUUUCCACAUAUGAAUCUUGUAAUGGUGGAAUUAUUUUGAUGGGCAAUAAUGCCGCAUGUGAUGUUGUUGGUAGAGGUACAAUCCGAAUUAAAAUGCAUGAUGGUAUUGUGAGGACGCUCACUAAUGUUAGACAUGUUCCUGAUUUAAAAAAGAAUCUCAUCUCUUUAGGCACCCUAGAGGCCCUUGGGUGUAAAUACACAGCUGAAGGUGGAGUUAUGAAAGUUUCUAGAAGUGCUCUUGUUGUUAUGAAAGCUUGUAGGUCCGGUAGCUUGUAUAUUCUGCAGGGAACUACUGUCAUAGGUUCGGUUGUAGUUUCGUCAUCAUCAUUGUCUGAUUCUGACAUCACCAAAUUAUGACAUAUGCGUUUGGGUCAUAUGAGCGAAAAAGGUUUGAGCAUAUUGAGCAAAAUAGGUCUACUUUGCGGACAGAGUACUGUGCCAUUGGAUUUUUGUGAACACUGCAUUUUUGGAAAGCAGAAAAGAGUCAGCUUCACUUCUCUGGCAAUUCACAAAACGAAAGGUACUCUUGACUAUAUCCAUUCAGACCUUUGGGGUCUAGCUCAUGUUCAGUCUAAGGGUGGUGCUAGGUAUAUGUUAACUUUCAUUGACGAUUAUUCCAAGAAAGUUUGGGUUUAUUUUUGAAGCAUAAAAAUGAUGUUUUUCUAACCUUUAAACAAUAGAAGGCUUUGAUUGAGAAACAAACAGGUAAACAGAUUAAGAGGCUUCGAACAGAUAAUGCCAUGAAAUUUUGUGAAGGUGACUUUAAUGAAUUUUGCAAAAAUGAAGUAAUCGUUCGGCAUUGCACUGUUAGGAUGACGCCUCAACAAAAUGGUGUGGCCGAACGUAUAAACAGAACACUCUUAGAGAGAGCGAGGUGUAUAAUCUCAAAUGUAGGGUUGACAAAGGACUUUUGGGCAGAGGCGAUUAAUAUGGCAUGUUACGUUGUUAACCGCGCUCCUUCUACAGCACUUAACUUUAAAAUUCCAGAGGAAGUUUGGUCAGGUACUCCUGCUGAUUAUUCUGAUUUAAAAAUUUUUGGGUGUCCAGCAUACAUGCAUGUAAAUGAAGGAAAAUUAGAGCCUCGAGCUAAAAAAUGCAUUUUCCUUGGGUAUGCUUAUGGGGUGAAAGGAUACAGAUUAUGGUGUUCUGAUCCCAAAUCCCCAAAAUUUGUAAUCAAUAGAGAUGUUACUUUUGAUGAAUUGUUUAUGUUAUCUUCCAAAGAGGAUUCUACUAGUUGUACAAAUGAUAGUGCGCAGAAGCAGGUGGAGCUUGAGAUUGGUAGUUCAGAUUCUUUUAAGUCGAACUCUUCUACUCAAAGAAUGCCAGUAGGUGGUCCCGAGUUUACUGACGCAGAUGAUCCAGAGGAAGAGCAAUAUUCCAUAGCCAAGGAUAGACCACGGAGAGAUAUUCGACCACCACAAAGAUAUGCAAAUUUGGUUGCAUAUGCUUUGUCUAUUGCAGAAGAGACAAGUGAAGUUGGUGAGCCUACUUCCUACUCAGAUGCAGUUUUUUGUGAUAAUUCCGCUAAGUGGUUGAUUGCGAUGAAUGAAGAAAUUGAGUCUCUCCAUCGGAAUAGAACUUGGGAUCUUAUGAAGCCGCAUUCGGAUAAAAAAAUCGUUGGAUGCAAAUGAGAUAUUAUUGCUGAGGGAAAAGUCCUUGUUCAGAAAAUUCAUACGAAGGACAAUCCAACUGAUAUGUUUACGAAGCCUCUUCCGGUUUACAAGUUCAAGCAGUGCUUGGACUUGGUUGGUGUUCAUUGUUGGUGAUUGCCCGUUGGGGCUGUUAUGAAGAAGGUGGAGCAAGUUUUGUUGGGACAUGCCAAGGUGGAGAUUUGUUAGUUUGGCAAGUCCCAUAGUCCAACAUCGGGAAAAUCAGGCUUGUUAUCUCCUAUUGGAACUAUAAAUAAUGGCCCGGGCUUUAAAGUCAGAUGCACCACAAGAAAAACCUAAGUGUUUAUUUUGGUUUAAGUCCAUACUCAAUUAAAUAGUUUGGAUUUAUAGUUUGGUUUUUCUUUUUUAGUAUUUUCGAGUGUUUUAUGGCCUAGGAACAUCUUCCUAAGGUAUUUGUAAUUGUCCCUCUUUUGUAGUAAUAAUUUGCUCCUCUUUCGUCAAUGGAUGUAAGUCAAAGUCAAUUGACCGAACCACGUAUAUCUGGUGUUCUGGUGUUCUUGUCUCGCUUUUAUUAUUUCCGUUUUAUUGUCUUGUUGGGUUACCAAAAUUACCUUGUGGUAAAUUUUCUGGGGCUAGCUCUAACACAAACAAUCAAGGAUAAUCGAUCCCUAAAGUUUCUCAAAUGCAAAAUCCCACAAACACAAGAAGCAAACCCAGGAGUUGAAGAUCAUCAUAUAACUCGAUCGUUCCGUAAGAAAGAAACGGCGCAAGAAUCAUCGAUCCGUAGAAGAAUACAUCGGAGGGAACGAUCUGUGGAAGAAUAGGAGGCGGAUCGAACCUUGAGAGUCGUCUUGAACCUUAGAACGAUGCGAUACCGGCGAGGAAGCUAUACUUCCUCACAAGAACCUUGGGUGGCGAAUUGCACGGGAGAGGCAUAGGCCAGGAGGUGGAUGCAGGGUUUGGCUCCUCCCGGUCGUCCGCCCUCGAAUGCCUACCGCUUCCC